ACCUCAGAAUCACAAAAUAAGUAAGAGUUGCUAGAAGCUGCUCUCCAAAGUUUCACAAAUAGUCUAACAUUUUCACAGCGGUUACUGGGGGUUUGCCAUGAAUCAGUGAGAACAACACAGCCCUGAGAGCUCACAGAGCUAUUUCAAACUCUAGAUUGAUGAGCAGGGGAGUUCCCAUGAAGCAAUAUUUACCAACUGAGAGCGUUAUGAUUGUUAAAACAGCUCUUGUGAGCCAGAUCACAUUCCUGCUGACAACAGGGAGGCAAAGAAGCUCCCCGAGUUACCUGCCACACACAGACUUUGGCUUCUGCUGGAGAUUGAUGUCUGUGCAUGAAGCUCAUGCCCAAAGAGAAAAGGGGCUGCGACAUGUUGGAGAACUGGUCCCAAUUCUUCACCCUUCUAUGUAUCCACACGCUAGCCAUGGCCUCCUUGUGGAUGGUGUAUACUUCUGCCCUGGCCUGGGACUUGUCCAUGUGAUUUGCUUCAGCCAAUGGCAUAUGAGUGGAAGUGGCAAUAUGCCAAUUCUGAGCCUAGAUCUACGAGACUUUGCCUGUUUUGGCUUGCUCUGUUAUGGAACAUUCCCCAGUUAGUCUGCUGGAAGGGAAAGGGCAACAGAAGUGCGAACCCACAGUGUGGACUAGAGCCAUUCUAGCUGCCGCAGCCUGAAUCAACCAGCCCACACACGACCAAGCCCAGCUGAGAUCAGCAGAGCCUGCCCAGGCGUCCUGCAGUUGUAUGAGAUAAAUAAUACGCACUGUUUUAAGCCACUUUGAUUCUCUGGUUCUUUGUUAUGCAGCAAUAGCUAAUCAAGACAAGCAGUUUCUAUCUCCCAGCUCUAGUUUGAAAAGUUCCAGGGAAGAGUGAUCUGACCUCACUUGUUUCAAAGGCCCAAAUCUGUCACCAGCCACUCAGAUAUCUUAAGAACAGGGUAACGGUGCUGGUUGUCACACAAAAGUGAGAACUUUCUACUCAGUAAUACACCUGUAUUUUUGUGUGUGUCGAAUUUAAAAUAUUCCAGUCAUCAAUCAUUUAAAACUAACAUAAAAAUUGAGAUUAGUUAAUACAGUAAAUAAUAAAACUAUGUGUAAUUAAAACUUCAUUAUGGCCAGAGAGCAUAGAAAAAGAAGAAGGAAAAGAAGAAGAUGCAAAACACAAUAUUUGCCCAAAAUCCAAGAAGGAGCAAUAUUUCCUUAGAUAAAAACAAUUAAAAAGUAUAUUUGAUAAUAAACAUAUUUUAAAAUCUAAGUAAGAAAGAAAUAAAAUUUUUGAAAAUAUCAUUUUACCCCAACU
RNAcentral lists this long non-coding RNA (1290 nucleotides) under Equus caballus (horse). RNAcentral's name for it is "lncRNA (ENSECAG00000045442.1)". Lineage: Eukaryota; Metazoa; Chordata; Mammalia; Perissodactyla; Equidae. The record is from RNAcentral.